AUUGAACGCUGGCGGCAUGCCUUACACAUGCAAGUCGAACGGCAGCACGGGAGCUUGCUCCUGGUGGCGAGUGGCGAACGGGUGAGUAAUAUAUCGGAACGUACCCUAGAGUGGGGAUAACGCAGCGAAAGUUGCGCUAAUACCGCAUACGAUCUACGGAUGAAAGUGGGGGAUCGCAAGACCUCAUGCUCAUGGAGCGGCCGAUAUCUGAUUAGCUAGUUGGUGGGUAAAGGCCUACCAAGGCAUCGAUCAGUAGCUGGUCUGAGAGGACGACCAGCCACACUGGAACUGAGACACGGUCCAGACUCCUACGGGAGGCAGCAGUGGGGAAUUUUGGACAAUGGGGGCAACCCUGAUCCAGCAAUGCCGCGUGAGUGAAGAAGGCCU
RNAcentral lists this ribosomal RNA (387 nucleotides) under uncultured bacterium. RNAcentral describes it as "bacterial SSU rRNA". It matches the Rfam family "Bacterial small subunit ribosomal RNA", at positions 30 to 417 of the family's 1533-position model. The record is from RNAcentral.